AGCGAACGCUGGCGGCAGGCCUAACACAUGCAAGUCGAGCGCGUGUAGCAAUACACGAGCGGCAGACGGGAGAGUAACACGUGGGAACGUACCCUUCAGUUCGGAACAACCAAGGGAAACUUUGGCUAGUACCGGAUACGUCCGUAAGGAGAAAGAUUUAUCGCUGAAGGAUCGGCCCGCGUCUGAUUAGCUAGUUGGUGAGGUAACGGCUCACCAAGGCGACGAUCAGUAGCUGGUCUGAGAGGAUGAUCAGCCUCACUGGGACUGAGACACGGCCCAGACUCCUACGGGAGGCAGCAGUGGGGAAUAUUGGACAAUGGGCGCAAGCCUGAUCCAGCCAUGCCGCGUGGGUGAUGAAGG
RNAcentral lists this ribosomal RNA (360 nucleotides) under uncultured bacterium. Its description in RNAcentral is "bacterial SSU rRNA". It matches the Rfam family "Bacterial small subunit ribosomal RNA", at positions 29 to 414 of the family's 1533-position model. The record is from RNAcentral.